Molecule: ribosomal RNA, 484 nt
Filed under: uncultured bacterium
Lineage: Bacteria
Description: partial 16S ribosomal RNA
Rfam family: Bacterial small subunit ribosomal RNA
Source: RNAcentral
AUUGAACGCUGGCGGCAGGCCUAACACAUGCAAGUCGAGCGGAUGAAGGGAGCUUGCUCCUGGCUUCAGCGGCGGACGGGUGAGUAAUGCCUAGGCAUCUGCCUGGUAGUGGGGGAUAACGUCCGGAAACGGGCGCUAAUACCGCAUACGUCCUGAGGGAGAAAGUGGGGGCUCUUCGGACCUCACGCUAUCAGAUGAGCCUAGGUCGGAUUAGCUAGUUGGUGGGGUAAAGGCCUACCAAGGCGACGAUCCGUAACUGGUCUGAGAGGAUGAUCAGUCACACUGGAACUGAGACACGGUCCAGACUCCUACGGGAGGCAGCAGUGGGGAAUAUUGGACAAUGGGCGAAAGCCUGAUCCAGCCAUGCCGCGUGUGUGAAGAAGGUCUUCGGAUUGUAAAGCACUUUAAGUUGGGAGGAAGGGCAGUAGGUUAAUACCUGGCUGUAUUGACGGUACCAUCAGAAUAAGCACCGGCUAACUUCGUG